GACGAACGCUGGCGGCGUGCUUAACACAUGCAAGUCGAACGGAAAGGCCCUGCUUUUGUGGGGUGCUCGUGUGGCGAACGGGUGAGUAACACGUGAGUAACCUGCCCUUGACUUUGGGAUAACUUCAGGAAACUGGGGCUAAUACCGGAUAGGAGCUCCUGCUGCAUGGUGGGGGUUGGAAAGUUUCGGCGGUUGGGGAUGGACUCGCGGCUUAUCAGCUUGUUGGUGGGGUAGUGGCUGACCAAGGUUUUGACGGAUAGCCGGCCUGAGAGGGGGGACGGGCACAUUGGGACUGCGAUACGGCGCAGACUCCUACGGGAGGCAGCAGGGGGGAGUAUUGCACAAUGGGCGGAAGCCUGAUGCGGCAACGCCGCGUGUGGAAUGACGUCCUUCGGGUUGUAAACCACUUUCGCCUGUGACGAAGCGGGAGUGACGGUAAUGGGUAAAGAAGCACCGGCUAACUACGUG
RNAcentral lists this ribosomal RNA (468 nucleotides) under uncultured bacterium. RNAcentral's name for it is "partial 16S ribosomal RNA". It matches the Rfam family "Bacterial small subunit ribosomal RNA", at positions 28 to 507 of the family's 1533-position model. The record is from RNAcentral.